RNAcentral lists this microRNA precursor (59 nucleotides) under Monopterus albus (swamp eel). RNAcentral's name for it is "Mal-Mir-92-P1a2_pre stem-loop". It matches the Rfam family "mir-92 microRNA precursor family", at positions 11 to 71 of the family's 80-position model. From Rfam's summary of the family: This family represents the microRNA precursor mir-92. Human miR-92 has two predicted hairpin precursor sequences: mir-92-1 on chromosome 13 and mir-92-2 on chromosome X. miR-92 has also been cloned from mouse embryonic stem cells. The mature sequence is excised from the 3' arm of the hairpin. The record is from RNAcentral. Lineage: Eukaryota; Metazoa; Chordata; Actinopteri; Synbranchiformes; Synbranchidae.
AGGUUGGGAGAGGUUGCAAUGCUCUAUACAUGUAUGGUAUUGCACUUGUCCCGGCCUGU